ACGCAGCUGAGACCAGCAGGAAGUCGGUCAGCGAGUGGGUUCGAUCAGCUCAGGCGAUUCUUCAGACACCUCAGAAAAGACCCCAGAGGACUCGAGUAAAAAGAGGAGGAGGUUUGAAAGGGGACGUCUUGCUGAAAGGCUGAACCGACUCCACAGCAGGCAAAGAUCAGCCAUCAGCUUCUGGAGACAUCAGUGCAAUUCAACCACAUCAGAUGGUCGGUGAGUUGAACAGAUGAGGAGUUCCUAAGUCUCUGCUGGACGCAGUGGAGGAUUGUGGGUCGUCGGGCCCU
This is a long non-coding RNA of Carassius carassius (crucian carp), 290 nucleotides long. RefSeq lists it as uncharacterized. The record is from RefSeq and is a predicted model, not a curated record. The transcript is spliced from 3 exons. Lineage: Eukaryota; Metazoa; Chordata; Actinopteri; Cypriniformes; Cyprinidae.